Molecule: ribosomal RNA, 465 nt
Filed under: uncultured bacterium
Lineage: Bacteria
Description: partial 16S ribosomal RNA
Rfam family: Bacterial small subunit ribosomal RNA
Source: RNAcentral
GACGAACGCUGGCGGCGUGCUUAACACAUGCAAGUCGAACGGAAAGGCCCUGCUUUUGUGGGGUGCUCGAGUGGCGAACGGGUGAGUAACACGUGAGUAACCUGCCCUUGACUUUGGGAUAACUUCAGGAAACUGGGGCUAAUACCGGAUAGGAGCUCCUGCUGCAUGGUGGGGGGUGAAAUUUGGCGGCUGGGGAUGGACUCGCGGCUUAUCAGCUUGUUGGUGGGGUAGUGGCUUACCAAGGCUUUGACGGGUAGCCGGCCUGAGAGGGUGACCGGCCACAUUGGGACUGAGAUACGGCCCAGACUCCUACGGGAGGCAGCAGUGGGGAAUAUUGCACAAUGGGCGGAAGCCUGAUGCAGCAACGCCGCGUGCGGGAUGACGGCCUUCGGGUUGUAAACCGCUUUCGCCUGUGACGAAGCGUGAGUGACGGUAAUGGGUAAAGAAGCACCGGCUAACUACGUG